UACGUAGGGUGCGAGCGUUAAUCGGAAUUACUGGGCGUAAAGCGUGCGCAGGCGGUUAUGCAAGACAGAUGUGAAAUCCCCGGGCUCAACCUGGGAACUGCAUUUGUGACUGCAUAGCUGGAGUGCGGCAGAGGGGGAUGGAAUUCCGCGUGUAGCAGUGAAAUGCGUAGAGAUCGGGAGGAACAUCUGUGGCGAAGGCGACUACCUGGACCAGCACUGACACUGAGGCACGAAAGCGUGGGGAGCAAACAGG
RNAcentral lists this ribosomal RNA (253 nucleotides) under uncultured bacterium. RNAcentral's name for it is "partial 16S ribosomal RNA". It matches the Rfam family "Bacterial small subunit ribosomal RNA", at positions 524 to 776 of the family's 1533-position model. The record is from RNAcentral.